UGGGGUGCUGGGGGAGCGACGGGGAGGCGGGGUUAGCUGGGGGACACCCCUCCCGGUGCCCUGCAUCCCCUCCACACGCACCCCGCUGUGUCCAGGACAGCAGGGAGGCACCGGAGGUGCUCUAGUGCCCACCUUGGCCUGUCAAACCAAGUCACAUCCCCUCCCUCCAGUUUGGAUAUCUGAAUUGUCCAUCCCAUUCACGCACCUCUCCUCCCCCCUCCUCCUCCAGGGACUCCCUGUGCCUUCACUGGUGUGCAGAAAGAGCUUACGCGAGUCUUGACGUCCCUCACAAGGUCCAGGUAGGGCAUCCCUGGCUUCACCAUCAGCAUGUCCGCUCCCUCACGCACGUCCCGGUCCUGCAAGGGGAACACACGCAUGACCCCAGCAUCUCAGGGUAGAAUAAUAUUUUCCAGCAAGUCCAUGGUUGGUUUUCCCCAGAGGUUUUGACCUGGUGGCUGGUUUUCUGAGGAGGGAUCACAGAAGGGUCUAGUGGGCUCCUAAGGGCCACACGAGCCCAGAGGUGGGCUGUGACGCGGGAGAGCUGAUGCUCCCCUUGCCAGACGCACAGUGCCUGGGGAAAGCCUGCAGCUGCGUGUCCCUGGACCUGACACCCCACGUCACAGGAGGGUACAGGGUCACCAGCUCCACAGCUCCCAACACAUGGCCCUCACGCCCACACUGGGGACCUGCUCCCUCCCUCUCUCUCUCAAUUGAGAGGCAAAAGCCUUAGCCAUUUUGGCUGGUGUGCCUCCUACCACCUUCUGCCUCCAACAGCCCUGGGCUUGCUCUCCCCAAACCCAUGAGCCUUGGUGCUGCCCUGGGCAGCCUGACCCCGGCUCACUCACCACGGCACGUAUCGCUAGGCCCCUGGCACCUGGGGGCAGCUGGUAGCAUCGCCUGUCUCCGAAGGCAGGUUUGGAGAGUGCAGCAUCCCUGGUGACGGGCAAGACAGAGGGCAGGGUAUGAGGACCAGCGCAGAAACCUGUGCUGCUCACCUCGUCCAGCUUCAGAAACGUGAGGACAGACUAAGACAAGUGCCUGAGCUAUCGGGGCCUGGAAAGGGGGGGCUCUCCUGACCCACCUCAGCACCCCAGGAUUGCUCUGGGAGGUCCAACGGGCCCAGACUGGCCCUGGAGCUGUGCUUCAACGCCCGCUGCCCUCCCCAUGCCCAGAGUCUGGGGUAAAAUCAUGUCAGAUGUCUUCCUUUUGCUCUUUUCCGAGGCAGGUCCCUCAGGGAUGCACCAUCAAGGUCAGGCCUUUCUCAGACAAGGACUCUUAGAUGAGCUGAGCUUGUCCCUAAAGCCAUCCUUUGGGGCAACAGCAGCUCCUGUGACUCCCCCUCCUCACUACUCCUGGCAGCUGCAGAGGCAGCUUCCUCUCUGCCUGCCUUGCCACCAGCACCCAGGAUGAGCAGGUGAAGGGAUCACCCAAGGUUAUCUUCCCACCAGCCAGCCUCUCCUGGGCAAGGUAUGCUUGUCUCCCUUUUGCACUGGGAAGUAGGAGGAGAGUGCUCUAAAGCGACCAGCAUGGCCCCACCUGUGGCCCAGGCUCUGGCCGAGCCCUGCUCCCAAAUAACUAUCAGGGACACACCUCCCGGCCAGCCCGGUGCCAGCUGGGGACACUCCUGGCUGAGGGACAGACCCACCUGAAGGGACCAUAGAAGCACGAGGCAAACUUGGCGCUGUAGCUCAUCACUGAGACCUGCCGAGGAGAGCAGAGCUGUGAGGGCCAGAAGCUCAGUGCUGCAUCCCUGUGCUGGAGCAGUAGCAAUUCCCUCCCACGGCUGUUCUAUACUCUGCCCCAUGUCCUCCUUCCCCUGCCAGAGGCCUGGCGCCUUGCUGUCCCUGUGUCCAGCCAAGGACAUUCCCUUCCCGUGUGCCUGCAGCACAUCCUGGGCAAGGUGGAGGUUUGCUUCCUCCACCGCUUGCCCAGGACCUGUUGCGGUGUGCCUCCCCAUGGAUGUUGUUGCUGCCUUUGGCACACAGAUCCUGAGCUCACCUUGUUGCCCAAGUCAUUGGAGAUCAAUGCCGCCUUCAUGGCUGCGAUGCGCCCGUCCAUCAUAUCUGAGGGGGCAACGAUGUGGCAGCCUGCAGGGAAAGAGCAGACACGCCAAGAAGUGCUUGAGGCUGUGCCCCUGCCUGCAGGGGGUGACCCCAGGGCCAAGGGGCCCCAGGUGCCUGCAGCUCUGCCAGGGCCAGCACACGGAGGGCAGGGGGAGCCUCCCCUGGCUUGGAGCAAAAGCACUCCCAGUUGGAGCUAGGGCCAGUUUGCUUUUGGGCCUGCAGAAGGCAAGAGGGGGUGAGUCUGCAAGGGUCAAACUCAGGUAGUGCUGCCAGGAGACUCCUCACCUGCUUUGGCAUAGGCCAGUGCCACUUCUGCCAGCCGCUGGCAGCUGAUCUCAUUCUGGAUGGUGCCGUCUUCACGCAGGAUGCCUGGGAGACAAACCUGGAGUUAGGUGAGGGGGUGGACGGCCAGUUGCCUCAACCCCUAGGGUGGGAGCAUGGCUCUCGCUACACAGAUGCUCAGAGCAAUGGCAGGAAACAUGUUAAGGGAGCUGGAUAAGGACCAGAAAACCAACAACGCAGUCCUCAAAGGACUGGACACAACACGUGGGUGCUCCCAGGAAGGGAAGACAGAUGGGGUACACAGAGGGGUGCUCAGACAGACUCAAAUGAUCAGGAAUUGGGUGCCUUAACCACCUGUGCCUCCCACCCUGCUCUGAAAAUCUAGAAGUCUCUCGGGCUCAACUGCACCAGUACUGGGGAGCCAUGUCUUGGGGCAGAAGCUGGCCAGGCCCCACCAGCACUAAGAGCUCAGCAGAAAAUAGAAAUAGAAACCCCCAGAGACUCCCAGUCCCGGGAAGGUGGCCAAGGAGCAGCCCGUGACCCCAGGCUGUGCACUCACCGCAGUGCCCGUGGGAGGUGUAGGGGCACAAGCAGACAUCACAGGCUAUGAGCAGCUCUGGGAAGGUGGAGUGGAUCUUUCUGAUUGCCUGGAUGGCAGGUGUGUCCUCUGCAUCAGCAGCAGAGCCCCUCUCAUCCUGUGGGGAGAGAAAUGCUUCAGCCCGCAGAGCUGAGGGUGUCCCACCAACUCCUGCAUGGCAGCAGUUCUGCCCAAGAAAUGUUUUCUGAACCAUGAGACCAUGUAAUGGAGCGUGACCACCAGUAUGGAAGAGGGUGACAGAGUAGUGCCUCUGAGCAGUGAGUGCAGGUCUUGGGGCCACCUGCAACAGCUCCCAGCGCAAGGCUGUGUCAUGGGAAGUCAUAGGGGAGAUUCUCUCUCAAGUCAUCCACCCUGCUUUCUGCAGCACAGAGCUCCCUAUUCUCCUCUGCCCUACGGGGAUGCACCGCUUGGUCAAAGGGACAGAGGACACCCAGAGUCACCAGGAAUAUUUCGGGUGUCGCUACAGUCCCCCAUCCCCAUCCUGCUCUGUGGAGGGGGGCGCAGGCACACCCAGAGCCCCUGAACUGCUCCUGUUUGAUCAGGAGACCCCCCUGGCCCCGUACUGCUCUCCCACACCCCCUGCCACUACCACGCACACGUACCUUGUGGACCUUGCUGGGCACCCCGAAGAUGAGCACACACUUCAGACCAUCUUCAACGAGGGGACGCAGCAUCCCCUCCAGCUUGUUGACUCCAUACCUGACAAGAGGAAAGUGAAGGGGGCUGCCAGGCACCCAGACCUGCUCUGUGACUUGGAUGCUGGUCUGCAACUGAUCCACAAGCACUCAUGCCAAGCAGCAGCUGGAGGUACAGGGGAUGUGUUGCCUGAACAUUGGGAAGAACAAUCCAGGACCUUAUGUCUGGGGCCACAGCACUGUUAUCUACCCAGCAUGGACACUCUUUGCCCUGAAAGGACCAUGCCCUGCCCUUGGGUCCCUUAUCUCAGCUUCCUGGUUGCAGAUGCAGCAAUGUGUUCUGAGACAUCGUGAGACCCUGGCACUAUCCCUGCCAGUACUGGUACUUUCCCAGCAUCCCCAAUAUGAUUCCCUCCACUUCCAUGGUGGGCAAAUACUCCUGCCCUGCCCGAUGCUGCGUGAUCCCCAUGACAGGGACCACAGCAGGUUGGAAGCAUCACCCCUGGCCCACGCUCAUCUCAGGCCGUACAUCAACCCUGCUUGGGCACAGCAGCAAGUGGCAGGCAGCUCGGAGGGGCGGGGUUCUUACCUGGCUUGUCCAGGGAGGCUGGGGAUCGGCUCCACUGCAUCAGGGCUGUCACUGCAGGAGGUGGAUGAGACAGAGACGUGAGGACUUGGCAUGAGAAGGAAGCCGCCACCCCAGGCUUCUCCACAGGGAAUCUUCUGGGGAGUCUGAACCCUGAGCCAGUCAACCUGAGCUCGGUCCAUCCCUAACCCAGAGAGCCAGAGCUCACUCACGUGACAAAAAUGGGGUAGAUGAGGUUGGAGGCAUCAAAGGUGGUUGCUGUACACUGCCAGGAGCGUAGCACAGGGUGGAAGUAGCCGCUGUGAAGAAGGGAGUCUGCCUGCAUCUUGGGCGUUCACUAGGAGGCUGUGGAAGGAGACUGAAACAGCAAAAGAAACCGUCAGGCUGGUUAGCGGCGGUGCCCUGGUAAGCCACAGCUACCGGUGCAUGCGAGGAGGGGGCUGAGGUCCAGGCAGCCACCGCAGGACCGUCCCUGUCCUGCUCCAGGCAUAUGCGGGGAACGUGAGCUGCAGCCCAGCCAGCUUCAGCCCUGUUCUCCUGGGGGCUGCCCCGGCCGGGUGGCUGUUGCAGGACCCCCCAUCGGCAGUCACAGCACUUCCCCUAAACAGGGAUGAUGCCGACUCCUCUCCAGCAAGCAAGCCAAUUCUCUGUGAAACCACCAAUUUACAGCCACCAGUGUCCUCCCGCAGCAGAACCACGUUCACACGGUUCAACACUACCAUCCUCGUCAGGCUCCGUCUGUUUUAGCUUGCAGAGAUGUAACAACAGUUUUCUAAUGCCGGGAUGGUCACGGCUGCAUUUGUUUCAGUUUUACUUAACACUAUAAUUGUGUGAUAGAGCUUUUGUAUAUGGAGUAGUAAAAAGCUGCUCUGUGUAGCACAAAGUAUUUGUGGCCAAAGUGUAAAGGUGCAGUUACAGAGAGUACGGGUAUGGAUGAGAGAGGGCUGCAGGACCAUCCUGGAGACACCAGGGCUUCAAACCCUACCGUCACACAACUCCAGUGGCCGCUUACUGCUGGAUAAAAAAAACUUGGGAGUUCAGCAAAAACGAAUUCAGGGGUAACAAAGAGCAAUUACUCAAUAUAAAUAAAUCAAGCGUUAGCUAUGCUAUUGCUGAAA
Molecule: non-coding RNA, 5282 nt
Organism: Phalacrocorax carbo (great cormorant)
Lineage: Eukaryota; Metazoa; Chordata; Aves; Suliformes; Phalacrocoracidae
Source: RefSeq, a predicted model, not a curated record